UAUUCUUCUUGUUAGAGCUUGGAGUUGAGGCCACUGACUGGCCAAUGUGAACUCACAAGUGUAGAUAGGAUGCUAUGCAAGGGGCAAGUUUUUCACUAACACCGUAAGAUUCUCUGGGCCAACGAGGGGAGUUUAAUACAAAUUCUUGCUACAACU
Symphalangus syndactylus (siamang) is the source of this 156-nucleotide small nucleolar RNA. The record is from RefSeq and is a predicted model, not a curated record. Lineage: Eukaryota; Metazoa; Chordata; Mammalia; Primates; Hylobatidae.